UACCGUAUUUAUUCUAUUUAAAGCCCCCCUUCUAAUUAACGCCCCCCUACCGAAAAUCGUGCGUUCAGAACUUUUGACUUCUAAUAAACGCCCCCAUUUUGUAGUUAAAAAAAUAAAAUUGAAACUUACCCAUUACAGAGGGGGAUAGGAUGGGUCCUGACCCCGAAAUCCCAGGCUUAAAAACACGAAAUCCCGAGGUCCCGAAUUUAAAUAAAGUAAAUCCCGACAUCCCGAAACCGAAAAGAAGAAUUCCCGGAUCCCGAAAGGGUCAAUCCCGAAAUCCCGAGCUUAAAAACACCCGAUCCCGGAGUCCCGAUAAAGGUCCUAUCCCCCCUCAUUACAAUAUUGCUAAGACAUCGACUCGGUCACUCAGAAACAUGAAACGAAAAAUCAAUAAUGC
Molecule: long non-coding RNA, 400 nt
Filed under: Mytilus galloprovincialis (Mediterranean mussel)
Lineage: Eukaryota; Metazoa; Mollusca; Bivalvia; Mytilida; Mytilidae
Source: RNAcentral